RNAcentral lists this ribosomal RNA (551 nucleotides) under Elasmus schmitti. RNAcentral describes it as "eukaryotic LSU rRNA". It matches the Rfam family "Eukaryotic large subunit ribosomal RNA", at positions 389 to 762 of the family's 3401-position model. Lineage: Eukaryota; Metazoa; Arthropoda; Insecta; Hymenoptera; Eulophidae. The record is from RNAcentral.
UCAAGAGUACGUGAAACCGUUCAGGGGUAAACCUGAGAAACCCAAAAGAUCGAAUGGGGAGAUUCAUCGGCAGCGGCUCUGGCUUCCGUGCGGCGCGCGAUGACGGGGACCUGGUCUCGCGUCACGCCGCGCUGCGGUAUGUCCGGGGUCGUCGGCGUGCACUUCUCCCCUAGUAGGACGUCGCGACCCGUUGGGUGUCGUCGAUGGCCGGCCGGUCGUCUGUUGUGCGCCGCUCUUCAGACCGGUGUCGAAAGUCCGGCUGCCCGGCGGUAUUGAAUUUUAUUCGGUAUCGGGCCGCAUGAAUGCGUUAGGCUCGUCGGCAGGCUCGUCUCGCUCGGAUACGGACCUAGCGCCGUUGCCGGGCGCUUGGCGCGGCCUUAGUCGACGAUGUCCUCGGACUGGCUCUUACCCGUCGGCGACGCUACUGCUUUGGGUACUUUCAGGACCCGUCUUGAAACACGGACCAAGGAGUCUAACAUGUGCGCGAGUCAUUGGGACUGAAGCCUAAAGGCGCAAUGAAAGUGAAGGUCUGCCUUGUGACCGAGGGAGGA